GAUGAACGCUGGCGGCGUGCUUAACACAUGCAAGUCGAACGGAAAGGCCCAAGCUUGCUUGGGUACUCGAGUGGCGAACGGGUGAGUAACACGUGGGUGAUCUGCCCCGCACUUCGGGAUAAGCCUGGGAAACUGGGUCUAAUACCGGAUAGGACAGUGGUUUGGAUGCCAUUGUGGAAAGUUUUUUCGGUGUGGGAUGAGCUCGCGGCCUAUCAGCUUGUUGGUGGGGUAAUGGCCUACCAAGGCGUCGACGGGUAGCCGGCCGGAGAGGGUGUACGGCCACAUUGGGACUGAGAUACGGCCCAGACUCCUACGGGAGGCAGCAGUGGGGAAUAUUGCACAAUGGGCGCAAGCCUGAUGCAGCGACGCCGCGUGGGGGAUGACGGCCUUCGGGUUGUAAACUCCUUUCGCUAGGGACGAAGCGUUAUGUGACGGUACCUAGAGAAGAAGCACCGGCUAACUACGUG
RNAcentral lists this ribosomal RNA (467 nucleotides) under uncultured bacterium. RNAcentral describes it as "partial 16S ribosomal RNA". It matches the Rfam family "Bacterial small subunit ribosomal RNA", at positions 28 to 507 of the family's 1533-position model. The record is from RNAcentral.